CGAACAAUGAAGCCAACAGGUUUGCCGCAAAUUAUCGCGGCUGGGAAGGGGGUGAGAAUCCCCCGCAGCCCCCGCUGCUGUGAUGCUGACGACCCCGUAAUCACCACUGAUCGCAAGAUUGGGAAGGACGGGCGAGGACGACGCUAAGCCAGAAGACCGGCCUGAUGGUUACUCUCAAC
Non-coding RNA from Kluyvera intermedia, 179 nucleotides. NCBI's taxonomy places the organism in Bacteria, Pseudomonadati, Pseudomonadota, Gammaproteobacteria, Enterobacterales, Enterobacteriaceae. The record is from Rfam.